GGAAGUAUAGCUCAGUUGGUAGAGUGCUUGCCUUGCAUGCACAAGGCCCUGGGUUUAAUCCCAGUACCCCCA
RNAcentral lists this transfer RNA (72 nucleotides) under Marmota marmota marmota (Alpine marmot). It matches the Rfam family "tRNA". Rfam says of the family: Transfer RNA (tRNA) molecules are approximately 80 nucleotides in length. Their secondary structure includes four short double-helical elements and three loops (D, anti-codon, and T loops). Lineage: Eukaryota; Metazoa; Chordata; Mammalia; Rodentia; Sciuridae. The record is from Rfam by way of RNAcentral. RNAcentral also lists the same sequence under 1 other name.